GAUGAAGAACGUAGCGAAAUGCGAUACUUGGUGUGAAUUGCAGAAUCCCGUGAACCAUCGAGUCUUUGAACGCAAGUUGCGCCUGAAGCCUCGGCUAAGGGCACGUCUGCCUGGGCGUCACGCAUCGCGUCUCCCCCAAACCGCCAAGGCGGAGGGGAAGGAAGAUGGCUUCCCGUGCCUCACCCGGCGCGGUUGGCCUAAAUUUGGAGCCCGCGGCACUUAGCUCACGCGGCGAUAGGUGGUGAACAAGGCCUUGGCCGUGCAAACAACCCGCUGCGAAGCUCUAUGUCACGUGCGCUCGUCGGACCCUUUGAAGUUGCCUUCGGUGACUUAAAACCUUUGCGACCCCAGGUCAGGCGGGGCUACCCGCUGAAUUUAAGCAUAUCAAUAAGCAGAGGA
Molecule: unclassified non-coding RNA, 399 nt
Filed under: soil metagenome
Description: partial contains 5.8S ribosomal RNA, internal transcribed spacer 2, and large subunit ribosomal RNA
Rfam family: 5.8S ribosomal RNA (bases 1-120)
Source: RNAcentral